AGGUUGAUAGGUCAGAAGUGGAAGCGUGGCGACACGUGGAGCGGACUGAUACUAAUCGGUCGAGGACUUAUCCUAUA
Molecule: ribosomal RNA, 77 nt
Filed under: Shouchella clausii
Lineage: Bacteria; Bacillati; Bacillota; Bacilli; Caryophanales; Bacillaceae
Description: partial 23S ribosomal RNA
Source: RNAcentral